GCCAGCAUGGUUUAGUGGUUUGAGCAUUGGACUACAACUCUGGAGAGCAGGAUUCAAAUCCCUGCUCAGAUG
Non-coding RNA from Phrynosoma platyrhinos (Desert horned lizard), 72 nucleotides. Lineage: Eukaryota; Metazoa; Chordata; Lepidosauria; Squamata; Phrynosomatidae. The record is from the annotation of a GenBank genome assembly.